GACGUAGGAUCCAAGCGUUAUCCGGAAUUACUGGGCGUAAAGGGCGUGUAGGAGGUUGGGCAAGUCGGCCAUGAAAGCUCCCGGCUCAACUGGGAGAGGCUGGUCGAUACUGCCUGGCUAGAGGGCAAGAGAGGGAGGUGGAAUUCCCGGUGUAGUGGUGAAAUGCGUAGAUAUCGGGAGGAACACCAGUGGCGAAGGCGGCCUCCUGGCUUGUACCUGACUCUGAAACGCGAAAGCAUGGGUAGCAAACAGG
RNAcentral lists this ribosomal RNA (253 nucleotides) under uncultured bacterium. Its description in RNAcentral is "partial 16S ribosomal RNA". It matches the Rfam family "Bacterial small subunit ribosomal RNA", at positions 524 to 776 of the family's 1533-position model. The record is from RNAcentral.